CUGCCGGAGCUGCUCAGCGACCUUAGCGCCAGCCCGCUUCCGCUUCCGUGUCGAGAUUAUGGCGGUGGCAAAUUCAAGCCCCGUCAACCCCAUCGUCUUCUUUGAUGUUAGCAUCGGCGGCCAGGAGGUUGGCCGAAUGAAGAUUGAGCUGUUUGCGGACAUCGUGCCCAAGACGGCGGAGAAUUUCAGGCAGUUCUGCACAGGAGAAUUCAGGAAAGAUGGAGUCCCUAUUGGAUACAAGGGAAGCACUUUUCACAGGGUUAUAAAAGAUUUCAUGAUCCAAGGAGGAGACUUUGUAAAUGGAGAUGGCACUGGAGUUGCAAGCAUUUACCGAGGACCAUUUGCUGAUGAAAACUUUAAGUUGAGGCAUUCAGCUCCAGGUCUGCUUUCCAUGGCUAACAGUGGCCCCAGUACCAAUGGCUGUCAGUUCUUCAUCACCUGUUCCAAGUGUGACUGGUUGGAUGGGAAGCAUGUUGUGUUUGGUCCUGAAGGGGCCUGAAAUGCAGAAUUUGCUCUGUUCUGGAUAUGGCCCCUCUGCCGUGGAGCCACUGGGCUUCUUCGGAGCCAGCUGCAGAAUGGGGGGAGAGACGUGGAGAGAGCUCGCAAGAAACAAUAUCAUUUAGCUCUGAUUCUUUCCGCAGGAAAAAUAAUUGAUGGACUUCUAGUGAUGAGAAAAAUUGAGAAUGUUCCCACUGGACCCAACAACAAGCCCAAGCUUCCUGUGGUCAUCUCUCAGUGUGGAGAGAUGUAAUGGAGAUCAGUGCUGAAUCAGGCUUCCUUUUGCUCUGUGAUGCUUCUGAGAAGAUGGGUUGGCCUCCCACCUUGCUUCCUUGGGUACUACCUGCAUUUGUGAUCAAGAGAUAGGACCUGUCAUGGAUUCAGGACCCCAAGCCUUUUUAAGUUUUCAACUGUAAAUAAAACUUGUGUUUUGGUUGUCUUUU
This is an RNA transcript of Sarcophilus harrisii (Tasmanian devil), 941 nucleotides long. It is a transcript of the gene named peptidylprolyl isomerase H, with no coding region annotated. The transcript has 10 exons. The record is from RefSeq and is a predicted model, not a curated record. Lineage: Eukaryota; Metazoa; Chordata; Mammalia; Dasyuromorphia; Dasyuridae.